Molecule: ribosomal RNA, 322 nt
Filed under: uncultured Coriobacteriales bacterium
Lineage: Bacteria; Bacillati; Actinomycetota; Coriobacteriia; Coriobacteriales
Description: partial 16S ribosomal RNA
Source: RNAcentral
GGAGUAUGGACCGUGUCUCAGUUCCAUUGUGACCGUUCAUCCUCUCAGACCGGCUACCGAUCGUCGCCUUGGUAGGCUCUUACCCCACCAACUAGCUAAUCGGACGCAGGCUCCUCGCAAAGCGAUAAAUCUUUAGUACAGAAUCCAUGCGAACUCCGCACAACAUCCGGUAUUAGCGUCACUUUCGCAACGUUGUCCCCGACUUUGCGGCAGAUUACCUGCGCUUUACUCACCCGUUCGCCACUAGCACCGAAGUGCCCGUUCGACUUGCAUGUGUUAAGCACGCCGCCAGCGUUCGUCCUCGAGCCACUGAUCAAACUCU